RNAcentral lists this ribosomal RNA (2080 nucleotides) under human gut metagenome. Its description in RNAcentral is "bacterial LSU rRNA". It matches the Rfam family "Bacterial large subunit ribosomal RNA", at positions 830 to 2925 of the family's 2925-position model. The record is from RNAcentral.
CAAUCGAACCCGGAGAUAGCUGGUUCUCCCCGAAAUAGCUUUAGGGCUAGCGUCGGAAAGAACCUUAGUGAAGGUAGAGCACUGAAUGUGUGAUGGCCCCAUCCCGGGGUACUGAAUACAAUCAAACUGCGAAUGUCAUUAAGGAUGUCCGGCAGUCAGACUGUGAGUGAUAAGGUCCAUGGUCAAGAGGGAAACAGCCCAGACCGCCAGUUAAGGUCCCAAAAUACAGGCUAAGUGGAAAAGGAUGUGGGGAUGCCCAGACAACUAGGAGGUUGGCUCAGAAGCAGCCAUCCUUUAAAGAGUGCGUAACAGCUCACUAGUCGAGUGACCCUGCGCCGAAAAUGUACCGGGGCUAAGCCUGAUACCGAAACUGCGGAUUGUAGGAAACUAUAGUGGUAGGGGAGCGUUGUAUACGAGUAGAAGCCGUACCGUGAGGAGCGGUGGAUUGUAUAGAAGUGAGAAUGCCGGUGUGAGUAGCGAGAUGUAGGUGAGAAUCCUACACACCGAAAGCCCAAGGAUUCCAGGGGAAGGUUCGUCCGCCCUGGGUAAGUCGGGACCUAACGCGAGGCCGAAAGGCGUAGUGGAUGGAAAGCAGGCGAAAGAUUCCUGCACCCGUAUAUGGAGCGAAGGAGUGACGGAGACGGAUAGUGUGACCCUCUUAAUGGAUUGAGGGCGAAGCGAAGCGGCUGGUUACCAGGCAAAUCCGAUAACUGAAAGGCUAGAGCGUGACAGGUAAGCGAAAUCUUCGGAAAGUAGCGAAGCACAUGAUGACGGCUUCCAGGAAAAGCUUCUGGCAAUGCAUAUGCGGCCCGUACCAAAACCGACACAGGUGGGCAGGGAGAGAAUCCCGAGGUGAGCGAGAGAACUGUUGCCAAGGAACUCGGCAAAAUGACUCCGUAAGUUAGCGAGAAGGAGUGCUUAAGCAAUUAAGCCGCAGUGAAGAGGCCCAAGCGACUGUUUAACUAAAACACAGCUCUCUGCGAAGUCGCAAGACGAAGUAUAGGGGGUGACACCUGCCCGGUGCUGGAAGGUUAAGAGGAUCUGUUAAGAGCGAUCUGAAGCAGUGAUCCGAAGCCCCAGUGAACGGCGGCCGUAACUAUAACGGUCCUAAGGUAGCGAAAUUCCUUGUCAGGUAAGUUCUGACCCGCACGAAAGGUGUAACGAUUUGGGCGCUGUCUCGGCAGCAGACUCGGUGAAAUCUUAGUACCUGUGAAAAUGCAGGUUACCCGCAACUAGACGGAAAGACCCCAUGGAGCUUUACUGCAGCCUGAUAUUGAAUUCUGGUCAUACAUGUACAGGAUAGGUGGGAGACAAAGAGACGUGCACGCCAGUGUACGAGGAGUCGACGUUGGGAUACCACUCUUGUGUGACCGGGGUUCUAACCUGGUAUCGAAAACAGGUACGGGGAGAGUGUCAGGUGGGCAGUUUGACUGGGGCGGUCGCCUCCCAAAGAGUAACGGAGGCGCCCAAAGGUACGCUCAGAUUGGAUGGAAACCAAUCGCCGAGUGCAAUUGCAGAAGCGUGCUUGACUGUGAGACUUACAAGUCGAACAGGGACGAAAGUCGGGAAUAGUGAUCCGGCGGUGCCGAAUGGAAGGGCCGUCGCUCAACGGAUAAAAGCUACCCUGGGGAUAACAGGCUGAUCUCCCCCAAGAGUUCACAUCGACGGGGAGGUUUGGCACCUCGAUGUCGGCUCAUCGCAUCCUGGAGCUGAAGUCGGUUCCAAGGGUUGGGCUGUUCGCCCAUUAAAGCGGUACGCGAGCUGGGUUCAGAACGUCGUGAGACAGUUCGGUCCCUAUCUGUUGUGGGCGAAGGAGAUCUGCGGAGAGCUGUCCUCAGUACGAGAGGACCGGGAUGGACCUACCGCUGGUGCACCGGUUGUUCCGCCAGGGGCAUAGCCGGGUAGCUAAGUAGGGAAAGGAUAAGCGCUGAAAGCAUCUAAGCACGAAGCCUACUCCAAGAUGAGAUCUCCCAUUCGCAAGAAGUAAGACCCCUUAAAGACGAUAAGGUAGAUAGGCCAGGGAUGGAAGUGCAGUGAUGUACGGAGUUGACUGGUACUAAUCGGUCGAGGACUUAAUCAG